This 228-nucleotide ribosomal RNA is filed under the name Triticum aestivum (bread wheat). Its description in RNAcentral is "partial small subunit ribosomal RNA". Lineage: Eukaryota; Viridiplantae; Streptophyta; Magnoliopsida; Poales; Poaceae. The record is from RNAcentral.
AUGGACCAAUCCAUCCCUUUUUCCCGUGCAUAUGCAUCGGACUCGGAUGACGAUGGUCCUGAUGAAGAAGUUGAUGAGGAGGGGUUCACACCGAAGGAGGCCGAAGCAUUUAAGAAGGUAUUCGGGUGGGAUCACAAGACACCAUUGUUCAAGGAUCUUAGUCUCGCGGAUGAAGCCGUUGUGGAUGGUGGAAAAUGCAUAUCUCUUGGAGCUAGGCCAAGUUCUCAC